This 431-nucleotide long non-coding RNA is filed under the name Apteryx owenii (little spotted kiwi). Its description in RNAcentral is "lncRNA (ENSAOWG00000009224.1)". The record is from RNAcentral. Lineage: Eukaryota; Metazoa; Chordata; Aves; Apterygiformes; Apterygidae.
GUUUUUUGAGGGUAUGAGGAUGCACAGCUGGAACAGAUGGUUAAUAGCACAACAAGAAAGCAGCUGAUUUACAGGCUCCUAGAGAAGGAAAACAGAAGAUCGGUGGCAGGACUUACCUUGAGAGCUGGUGUGAGGUUGCCGUGGGCUCUUCCAGGAACAAGGAAAUCGGCGAUGACCCUUCAGCUCUGCUCGAUAAGCAAGCGAUGAGGAGGAAUGUAGAGGAAGAGAGAGCGUGCCCAGACGCUCUGCUCUGAUCCAGCCCCUUUGCUAGAAGUCUCCGGCGGUUUCCUUCUGGCGGGCAGCCCCUGACCCCGGCGGGACCCCCCGUCUGCGGGAGCUGCCGGUCCCAGCUGAGAUGCUGGGGCUGGACGGGUUGUUGAGACCAGCCUCUUCCUCGCCGGUGAGUAGGAGGGUGCGGAGGGCGGCAGGCG